CCUACGGGAGGCAGCAGUGGGGAAUAUUGCACAAUGGGGGAAACCCUGCUGCAGCGACGCCGCGUGAGUGAAGAAGUAUUUCGGUAUGUACAGCUCUAUCAGCAGGGAAGAAAAUGCCGGUACCUGAUUAAGUAGCCCCGGCUAACUACGUGCCAGCAGCCGCGGUAAUACGUAGGGGCCCAGCGUUAUCCGGAUUUACUGGGUGUAAAGGGAGCGUAGACGGCAGCACAAGUCUGGAGUGAAAUGCCGGGGCUUAACCCCGGAGUUGCUUUGGAAACUGUGGAGCUAGAGUGCGGGAGAGGGAGGUGGAAGUCGUAGUGUAGCGGUGAAAGGCGUAGAUAUUAGGAGGAACACCAGUGGCGAAGGCGGCUUACUGGAGUGGAACUGACGUUGAGGCUCGAAAGCGUGGGGAGCAAACAGGAUUAGAUACCCGUGUAGUC
This 440-nucleotide ribosomal RNA is filed under the name uncultured bacterium. Its description in RNAcentral is "partial 16S ribosomal RNA". It matches the Rfam family "Bacterial small subunit ribosomal RNA", at positions 338 to 795 of the family's 1533-position model. The record is from RNAcentral.